CGCAGCCUGCUGCACUGGGAAAGCUGUAGUUCCAGAAGCACAAAGCUCUGCAGAGAAGCUGUUUGUGUGUUAUUUCGGCUACACGGUGUGAUCACGGGGGUUCUGAGGCUGCAGGGUUACCGCUUUACACACGUUUAAAGAAACUGUGGAACUAAAUCGGCUGCUUGGCAAACACAAGACCAAGCACAGGCGGUAGCUUCGUGCUGACAUUAUCUUUAUAACCGUUUUUUUUUGGGAAAAAAAGUUUGGGCCACUUUGGUACGGUUCAGUCAGUCGAGGGCUUCUCAGCUUGGACAAUAAAUCAGCACAAUUGUACAGAAUUCUUCAUCCUGAUCGAACACAAGGUGUCAGUUUAGUUCAACACUUCUGAGGUUUGUCUAAUAUUAGCAUUUCUGUAGUAACAGCUAACCUGGGAGGAAGAAGAAGGAGUAGAAGAAGGAGAAGAAAAUGAAGAAGGAAAAAGAAGAAGAAGGAGAAGGAGGAGACGGAGUAGAAAAAAGAAACAGAAACAGAAAAAAAGAGAAAAAAUAAAAAAGAAACAGAAAAAAGGAGAAGAAAUAGAAAAAAGAAAAAGAAAGAAGAAAAAGAAAAAGAAAAAAGAAAAAGAAGAAAAUAAAGAAAAAGAAAAAAGAAAAAGAAAAAAGAAGAAAAAAGAAAAAGAAAAGAAAGAAAAAAGAAAAAAGAAGCAAAUGAAAUAUAAAGGAAUGUAUACAGAAGAGUCUCCACCAUGAAGCCACAGGAUGUUGUGUUUCACUUUUUCUCAGUAACACCGAUGGCUCCUGAAACCCAAAGCGAGCGAACAUCAGCUGCUAAGUGCUAACACACACGAUAACGUUUGGGCGCCGCAGUCUCUCAGGACAUGAGGACAAUUUGUUCAGCACAUUUCAGGUUUUCUAAAACGUAAAACCAGCCCAAAAACUAGCUGAAACCUGUCAGCGAGCGAGGAGCGAACAGCAGGAAACUUUCCUCUACACUGUUGUGGCUGUGAUAGUGGCUCUGAAACUGUGUGUGUGUGUGUGUGUGUGUGUGUGUGUGUGUUAGAGUGUGUGUGUGGGUUAGAGUGUGUGUGCAUGAGUUAGUGUGUGUGUGUGAGUUGGAGUGUGUGUGUGUGUGUGCGUGAGUUGGAGUGUGUGUGUGUGUGUGUGCGUGAGUUGGAGUGUGUGUGUGUGUGUGUGUGUGUGUGUGUGUGUGCGCGUGAGUUGGAGUGUGUGUGUGUGUGUGUGUGUGUGCGCGUGAGUUGGAGUGUGUGUGUGUGUGUUGGCUGUAGAUAAUGCAGUAAACCAAUUACUUUGCAGUUUAAUAAAGAGCUGAAAACGUUUGUAAACUUCAGCAAAUAAAUAAAUAAAUAAAUAAAAACACUGACUUUCAAAAAAAAGGAUUUAAAACCUGUGAGUAUUAAAUGCGACCUGCACGUGGA
This is a long non-coding RNA of Tachysurus vachellii, 1417 nucleotides long. RefSeq lists it as uncharacterized. The transcript has 2 exons. Lineage: Eukaryota; Metazoa; Chordata; Actinopteri; Siluriformes; Bagridae. The record is from RefSeq and is a predicted model, not a curated record.